GCCUCCUAAAGAGUAACGGAGGCGCUCAAAGGUUCCCUCAGAAUGGUUGGAAAUCAUUCAUAGAGUGUAAAGGCAUAAGGGAGCUUGACUGCGAGACCUACAAGUCGAGCAGGGUCGAAAGACGGACUUAGUGAUCCGGUGGUUCCGCAUGGAAGGGCCAUCGCUCAACGGAUAAAAGCUACCCCGGGGAUAACAGGCUUAUCUCCCCCAAGAGUUCACAUCGACGGGGAGGUUUGGCACCUCGAUGUCGGCUCAUCGCAUCCUGGGGCUGUAGUCGGUCCCAAGGGUUGGGCUGUUCGCCCAUUAAAGCGGUACGCGAGCUGGGUUCAGAACGUCGUGAGACAGUUCGGUCCCUAUCCGUCGUGGGCGUAGGAAAUUUGAGAGGAGCUGUCCUUAGUACGAGAGGACCGGGAUGGACAUACCUCUGGUGUACCAGUUGUCGUGCCAACGGCAUAGCUGGGUAGCUAUGUAUGGACGGGAUAAGUGCUGAAAGCAUCUAAGCAUGAAGCCCCCCUCGAGAUGAGAUUUCCCAACUUCGGUUAUAAG
This 546-nucleotide ribosomal RNA is filed under the name Staphylococcus pseudintermedius. RNAcentral's name for it is "partial 23S ribosomal RNA". It matches the Rfam family "Bacterial large subunit ribosomal RNA", at positions 2285 to 2832 of the family's 2925-position model. The record is from RNAcentral. Lineage: Bacteria; Bacillati; Bacillota; Bacilli; Caryophanales; Staphylococcaceae.